GGGAGAAAAGAUAAGAAACGGAGAAAGGGAGAAGAAAAGGCUAGGUUUCAAGGGGAGAUUCACCAUUAUUGAAGGUUAAAGAAUCUAUUGCUAUGAACUCUAAGGUAAUGGUGUGGUUUUAAUUAUCUAAGGGUUAACAUGAUGAUGUUGGGUAGAUUAUGUCAUGUAGGUUUUGUGUUUUUCUUCUCUAUGUUCAUGAUCAUGGUGAUAUUUGUUAGUUGUUGAAUUAUGUGAAAGAUGAAUUGUUG
This 248-nucleotide long non-coding RNA is filed under the name Lathyrus oleraceus (garden pea). RNAcentral describes it as "Pisum sativum (pea) long non-coding RNA (PSAT_LNC016776)". The record is from RNAcentral. Lineage: Eukaryota; Viridiplantae; Streptophyta; Magnoliopsida; Fabales; Fabaceae.